This 447-nucleotide ribosomal RNA is filed under the name uncultured bacterium. RNAcentral describes it as "bacterial SSU rRNA". It matches the Rfam family "Bacterial small subunit ribosomal RNA", at positions 30 to 477 of the family's 1533-position model. The record is from RNAcentral.
AUUAAACGCUGGCGGCAUGCCUUACACAUGCAAGUCGAACGGCAGCACGGGGGCAACCCUGGUGGCGAGUGGCGAACGGGUGAGUAAAGCAUCGGAACGUGCCAUUGAGUGGGGGGAUAACGUAGCGAAAGUUGCGCUAAUACCGCAUAUUCUGUGAGCAGGAAAGCAGGGGACCGCAAGGCCUUGCGCUCUUUGAGCGGCCGAUGUCAGAUUAGCUAGUUGGUGAGGUAAAGGCUUACCAAGGCGACGAUCUGUAGCGGGUCUGAGAGGAUGAUCCGCCACACUGGAACUGAGACACGGCCCAGACUCCUACGGGAGGCAGCAGUGGGGAAUUUUGGACAAUGGGCGCAAGCCUGAUCCAGCAAUGCCGCGUGCAGGAAGAAGGCCUUGGUUGUAACUAGCUUUGUCUAGGGAAGGAAAUACUUCUUGGGUUAAGUACUCGGAGGA